This 889-nucleotide ribosomal RNA is filed under the name uncultured bacterium. RNAcentral's name for it is "bacterial SSU rRNA". It matches the Rfam family "Bacterial small subunit ribosomal RNA", at positions 8 to 853 of the family's 1533-position model. The record is from RNAcentral.
AGAGUUUGAUCAUGGCUCAGGAUGAACGCUGGCGGCGUGCCUAAUACAUGCAAGUCGAACGCUUUGUCUUUAAUUGAUCUGACGAGCUUGCUCUGAUGUGAUUUUAUCUGACAAAGAGUGGCGCACGGGUGAGUAACACGUGGGUGACCUACCUCUUAGCAGGGGAUAGCACUUGGAAACAAGUGCUAAUACCGUAUAAUACCAACAACCGCAUGGUUGUUGGUUGAAAGAUGGUUCUGCUAUCACUAAGAGAUGGACCCGCGGUGCAUUAGCUAGUUGGUAAGGUAACGGCUUACCAAGGCAAUGAUGCAUAGCCGAGUUGAGAGACUGAUCGGCCACAAUGGGACUGAGACACGGCCCAUACUCCUACGGGAGGCAGCAGUAGGGAAUCUUCCACAAUGGGCGCAAGCCUGAUGGAGCAACGCCGCGUGUGUGAUGAAGGGUUUCGGCUCGUAAAACACUGUUAUAAGAGAAGAACGGCACUGAGAGUAACUGUUCAGUGUGUGACGGUAUCUUACCAGAAAGGAACGGCUAAAUACGUGCCAGCAGCCGCGGUAAUACGUAUGUUCCAAGCGUUAUCCGGAUUUAUUGGGCGUAAAGCGAGCGCAGACGGUUAUUCAAGUCUGAAGUGAAAGCCCUCAGCUCAACUGAGGAAUGGCUUUGGAAACUGGAUGACUUGAGUGCAGUAGAGGAAAGUGGAACUCCAUGUGUAGCGGUGAAAUGCGUAGAUAUAUGGAAGAACACCAGUGGCGAAGGCGGCUUUCUGGACUGUAACUGACGUUGAGGCUCGAAAGUGUGGGUAGCAAACAGGAUUAGAUACCCUGGUAGUCCACACCGUAAACGAUGAGUGCUAGAUGUUCGAGGGUUUCCGCCCUUGAGUGUCGCAGCU